UUAAUUGAAGCCAAAAUAGAGGCCUUUCAUUGUUAAUGAAAUAACUGAUUUCACAAUAAUCCAAUUAAA
Molecule: transfer RNA, 69 nt
Filed under: Anthocoris kerzhneri
Lineage: Eukaryota; Metazoa; Arthropoda; Insecta; Hemiptera; Anthocoridae
Description: tRNA-Asn
Source: RNAcentral